UACGCAGUAGUCGUCGCAUAACGCACCAAUCUUUCGCCUUUUACUAAAGAUUGCCGUGCGGCGUCUACAUUUAAUGCUAUUUAUCUAAUUUUUUUGGCGCUCAGGCGCC
Molecule: small nuclear RNA, 109 nt
Organism: Theileria annulata
Lineage: Eukaryota; Apicomplexa; Aconoidasida; Piroplasmida; Theileriidae
Rfam family: U5 spliceosomal RNA
About the family: U5 RNA is a component of both types of known spliceosome. The precise function of this molecule is unknown, though it is known that the 5' loop is required for splice site selection and p220 binding, and that both the 3' stem-loop and the Sm site are important for Sm protein binding and cap methylation.
Source: Rfam